Molecule: ribosomal RNA, 614 nt
Filed under: uncultured Russulaceae
Lineage: Eukaryota; Fungi; Basidiomycota; Agaricomycetes; Russulales; Russulaceae
Description: eukaryotic LSU rRNA
Rfam family: Eukaryotic large subunit ribosomal RNA
Source: RNAcentral
GGAGGAAAAGAAACUAACAAGGAUUCCCCUAGUAACUGCGAGUGAAGCGGGAAAAGCUCAAAUUUAAAAUCUGGCGGUCUUUGACUGUCCGAGUUGUAAUUUAGAGAAGCGUCUUCCGCGCCGGACCGUGCACAAGUCUCCUGGAAUGGAGCGUCAUAGAGGGUGAGAAUCCCGUCUUUGGCAUGGAUGCCCGGUGCUUCUGUGAUGCGCUCUCGAAGAGUCGAGUUGUUUGGGAAUGCAGCUCAAAAUGGGUGGUGAACUCCAUCUAAAGCUAAAUAUUGGCGAGAGACCGAUAGCGAACAAGUACCGUGAGGGAAAGAUGAAAAGCACUUUGGAAAGAGAGUGAAACAGUACGUGAAAUUGUUGAAAGGGAAACGCUUGAAGUCAGUCGCGUCGACCGAGACUCAGCCUUGCCUUGGCUUGGUGUACUUCUCGGCACGACGGGUCAGCAUCAAUUUUGCCCCUCGGAUAAUGGCAAGGGAAAGGUGGCACCUUUACGGGUGUGUUAUAGUCUCCUGUCGCAUGCGAGGGGUGGGAUUGAGGAACUCAGCGCGCACCUCGGUGUCGGGGCUUCGGCCCACGUUACGUGCUUAGGAUGCUGGCAUAAUGGCUUU